RNAcentral lists this ribosomal RNA (443 nucleotides) under uncultured Anoxybacillus sp. RNAcentral's name for it is "bacterial SSU rRNA". It matches the Rfam family "Bacterial small subunit ribosomal RNA", at positions 939 to 1382 of the family's 1533-position model. The record is from RNAcentral. Lineage: Bacteria; Bacillati; Bacillota; Bacilli; Caryophanales; Anoxybacillaceae.
AUGUGGUUUAAUUCGAAGCAGCGCGAAGAACCUUACCAGGUCUUGACAUCCCCUCGACAACCCGAGAGAUCGGCGUUCCCCUCGGGGACGAGGGUGACAGGUGGUGCAUGGUUGUCGUCAGCUCGUGUCGUGAGAUGUUGGGUUAAGUCCCGCAACGAGCGCAACCCUCGACCUUAGUUGCCAGCAUUCAGUUGGGCACUCUAAGGUGACUGCCGGCUAAAAGUCGGAGGAAGGUGGGGAUGACGUCAAAUCAUCAUGCCCCUUAUGACCUGGGCUACACACGUGCUACAAUGGGCGGUACAAAGGGUUGCUACCUAGCGAUAGGAUGCUAAUCUCAAAAAGCCGAUCGUAGUCCGGAUUGGAGUCUGCAACUCGACUCCAUGAAGUCGGAAUCGCUAGUAAUCGCGGAUCAGAAUGCCGCGGUGAAUACGUUCCCGGGCCUU